RNAcentral lists this ribosomal RNA (253 nucleotides) under uncultured bacterium. Its description in RNAcentral is "partial 16S ribosomal RNA". It matches the Rfam family "Bacterial small subunit ribosomal RNA", at positions 524 to 776 of the family's 1533-position model. The record is from RNAcentral.
UACAGAGGGUGCGAGCGUUAAUCGGAAUUACUGGGCGUAAAGGGCGCGUAGGUGGUCUAUUAAGUUGGAUGUGAAAUCCCUGGGCUUAACCUAGGAACUGCAUGCAAGACUGGUAGGCUAGAGUACGGUAGAGGGUAGUGGAAUUUCCGGUGUAGCGGUGAAAUGCGUAGAUAUGCGGAGGAACACCGAUGGCGAAGGCAGCCCCCUGGGUCAAGAUUGACGCUCAUGCACGAAAGCGUGGGGAGCAAACAGG